CCUACGGGGGGCAGCAGUGAGGAAUAUUGCACAAUGGACGCAAGUCUGAUGCAGCAACGCCGCGUGGAGGAUGAAGGUCUUUGGAUCGUAAACUCCUUUUCUCAGGGAAGAGUAGGGACGGUACCUGAGGAAUAAGUCACGGCUAACUACGUGCCAGCAGCCGCGGUAAUACGUAGGUGGCAAGCGUUAUCCGGAAUUACUGGGCGUAAAGCGCACGCAGGCGGCUUGGCAAGUUCGACGUGAAAGCUCCCGGCUUAACUGGGAGAGGUCGUUGAAGACUGCUGAGCUUGAGGCAAUGAGAGGGGUGUAGAAUUCCCGGUGUAGUGGUGGAAUGCGUAGAUAUCGGGGGGAAUACCAGUGGCGAAAGCGGCACCCUAGCGUUGUUCUGACGCUCAUGUGCGAAAGCGUGGGGAGCGAACGGGAUUAGAUACCCUUGUAGU
RNAcentral lists this ribosomal RNA (440 nucleotides) under uncultured bacterium. Its description in RNAcentral is "bacterial SSU rRNA". It matches the Rfam family "Bacterial small subunit ribosomal RNA", at positions 338 to 794 of the family's 1533-position model. The record is from RNAcentral.